This is a non-coding RNA of 841 nucleotides. It matches the Rfam family "Bacterial small subunit ribosomal RNA", at positions 29 to 1399 of the family's 1533-position model.
AAAUCAAUUUAUACUUAACUUACACAUGCAAGUUUCCGCACCCCUGUGAAAACGCCCUCUAUAUCCUUCUAGGAACGAGGAGCUGGUAUCAGGCACACUACCCUNGCCCAAAACACCUAGCUAUNGCCACACCCUCAAGGGACUUCAGCAGUGAUUAAUAUUGAACAUGAACGACAGUUCGAUUCAGUUAAAGUACGUANAAGCCGGCAAAUCUGGUGCCAGCCGCCGCGGUUACACCAAGAGGCUUAAGUUGAUUCCNAGUCGGCGUAAAGCGUGAUUAAAGUUUACAAAAAANUAAAGUUAAACUACAACCAAGCUGUAGCACNGCNUUUGUUUCNUAGGAGCCCCAAAAACGAAAGUUACUUUAGUCAAAACAACUUGAAUUCACGACAGCUGAGAAACAAACUGGGAUUAGAUACCCCACUAUGCUCAGCCGUAAACCUUAAANUUACACCCCCAUCGCCAGGGAACUACGAGCAAAGCUUAAAACCCAAAGGACUUGACGGUACCCCACAUCCAUCUAGAGGAGCCUGUCCUAUAAUCGAUAACCCCCGCUUAACCUCACCAUUUUUAGCCAGUCAGCCUGUAUACCUCCGUCGUCAGCUCACCGCGUGAGCGAGACUCAGUAAGCUUAAUGUCCACNNNNNNNNNNNNNNNNNGCGUCAACACGUCAGGUCAAGGUGCAGUAAAUGAAAUGGGAAGAGAUGGGCUACACUUUCUGCUANCAGAACAGANCGAAAAAUUAUUUAUGAAAUCUAGUUAGAAGGAGGAUUUAGCAGUAAAAAGAAAUCAGAAUGUUCUUUUUAACCCGGCACUGGGGNUAUGUACACACCGCCCGUCA